This 125-nucleotide ribosomal RNA is filed under the name uncultured bacterium. RNAcentral's name for it is "partial 23S ribosomal RNA". It matches the Rfam family "Bacterial large subunit ribosomal RNA", at positions 1 to 113 of the family's 2925-position model. The record is from RNAcentral.
AGGGUUAUAUGAUCAAGUAAUUAAAGAACACAAGGCGGAUUCCUUGGCACCUGAAGGCGAUGAAGUACGUAGUUACGUCUGAUAAGCUUCGGGGAGGUGGUAAACAACCUUUGAUCCGGAGAUUU